CUAUAGUUACCUCGUGGGCGAGGUUGGGAGCGGCGAGGGCGCGAGGCCGGCGAGGUGGACGGGGAGGACUGCGUGUGACGGCGACGGCGGUGGCGCCGAUAUGACCGAGGACGAGCGUAUGCCGGGCGAUGUGAGGAGGAAGGCAUGCGACGUCAACGCUGAUCCGGGUGACGCGGCCUGCGACGGCGAACUUGCGGCGGCAUGGACUCGAGCGGGGAGGGGCGGCGCGUCGGUCGGCGGGGACAAGAUUAGGGUUAGGGUGAGAGGGUUGCACGAUUUCGGGAUAAGAAAAGGAAAUCACGCGAUUGAGAUCGGUGGCGGCGAGACGACGGAUGCAACAACGGCGGAGCGGCGGCGGUCGAGGGCGGUGGCGCCGCGUGAGAGGGAGAGAUUAGGGUUGGAGAGGGGGGCGCGAUUGGGGAGGGGCGGCGGCGCGAUAGACGAAAGAAGAGGAGGCGGCAACGAUUGGGAGGAGGUGGGGAGGAGGCCAACGAGCAGGGGAGGCAUCGGGGGUGGAGGAGUGAGGAGUCGAUGGCGGUGCGUGGAGUCAAGGUGGCGGUGGAGUCGAGGGUUUUGGAGGCGGCGCGGGUGGAGUGGAGUGCAACGGCUGAGUGCGGAGGAGUCAACGUCGCAGAGGGGUGGAGCGCGUGGUGCAGCGGCGGUGGCACAUAAGCGUGAAGCACUAGAGGAGGCGGCGGAGGAGGUGGGGAAGAUGAUGGAAUCAACUGCAGCGAUGGGAAGGCAUUGGGCGGAGGAGGAACCAGCGUGCGGCGGCGUGCAGGUGGAGAUGACGCGGAUGAGGAAUUGGGUGCGGCACGAUGGGAGUGGAACCGUGUGCGCCGUGGAUGCAGAGAGAGAGGGAAGUGAGGGGAAGAGCGGCGUCGGCGGCGGCAUCCCUUCACGCGGAGGCGACAGAGCGAAGGAUAUGGAAGCUAGGGAGCAUGAUGACCCGACCGCCGAUGUGGAGGCAGCGGAUCGGAGAGGAUGUGGACAGGGCGAGCAUGAGUCUCCAUGGCAGCCGUCGUGCUCCUCCCACGACUAGCGCGGCUUAA
This 1052-nucleotide long non-coding RNA is filed under the name Oryza sativa Indica Group (long-grained rice). Its description in RNAcentral is "lncRNA OsZS97_09G006320". The record is from RNAcentral. Lineage: Eukaryota; Viridiplantae; Streptophyta; Magnoliopsida; Poales; Poaceae.